Transfer RNA from Fistulina hepatica ATCC 64428, 104 nucleotides. It matches the Rfam family "tRNA". From Rfam's summary of the family: Transfer RNA (tRNA) molecules are approximately 80 nucleotides in length. Their secondary structure includes four short double-helical elements and three loops (D, anti-codon, and T loops). Lineage: Eukaryota; Fungi; Basidiomycota; Agaricomycetes; Agaricales; Fistulinaceae. The record is from Rfam.
GGCGCUGUAGCCAAGUGGUUAAGGCGAUUGAUUCGAAUGCAUGGUCGCACAUAAUCGAUAUCAAUUCCACUUUGUGGGCGCAGGUUCAAAUCCUGCCGGCGUCG